Molecule: RNase P RNA, 449 nt
Filed under: Aquabacterium sp.
Lineage: Bacteria; Pseudomonadati; Pseudomonadota; Betaproteobacteria; Burkholderiales; Sphaerotilaceae
Also listed under: 1 other name
Description: RNase P RNA component class A
Rfam family: Bacterial RNase P class A
About the family: Ribonuclease P (RNase P) is a ubiquitous endoribonuclease, found in archaea, bacteria and eukarya as well as chloroplasts and mitochondria. Its best characterised activity is the generation of mature 5'-ends of tRNAs by cleaving the 5'-leader elements of precursor-tRNAs.
Source: RNAcentral
GAAGCAAGCCAGACCGCCGCUGGGGCAAUCGUCGAAAGGCGGCCCUGGAGGAAGGUCCGGACUGCACAGGGCAGCGUAGCAGCUAACGGCUGUCCACCGCGAGGUGAGGAUCAGAGCAACAGAGACGAGUCGAGGCGGGUCACCGUACCGGGUGGUCUGUGAGGUGCCGGCGAAAGUCGGCGGCCAGGCGGCUGCGAAGCCGACUGGUUCGAGCGCAAGCUCGAAACCGAACAGCCACCCGAUGCGGCUCUGCCGCAUCGGGUGAAACGGGCAAUCUCUACGCGCAGCAACACCGAAUAGGCACACAUUGAUCUGGCCCGGGGAGUGUGCGGGUAGGUGGCAUCGAGCCGGGUGGGCGACCCCCGGCCCAGAGGAAUGGCGGUCACGCCACUGUCCGUCGCAAGGCGGGCGGCGGCGCACAGAAUCCGGCCUAUCGGCUCGCUUCACAC